AGAGUUUGAUCCUGGCUCAGGAUGAACGCUGGCGGCGUGCCUAACACAUGCAAGUCGAGCGAGAAGGUUAUGAUUGAUUCUUCGGAUGAGAGAUUAACUGGAAAGCGGCGGACGGGUGAGUAACGCGUGAGUAACCUGCCCCAUACACAGGGAUAGCCAUUGGAAACGAUGAUUAAUACCUGAUAACACAUAAUUAACACAUGUUAUUUAUGUCAAAGAUUUAUCGGUAUGGGAUGGACUCGCGUCUGAUUAGCUAGUUGGUGAGGUAACGGCUCACCAAGGCGACGAUCAGUAGCCGACCUGAGAGGGUGAUCGGCCACACUGGAACUGAGACACGGUCCAGACUCCUACGGGAGGCAGCAGUGGGGAAUAUUGCACAAUGGGCGCAAGCCUGAUGCAGCAACGCCGCGUGAACGAAGAAGGCCUUCGGGUCGUAAAGUUCUUUUCUUAGGGAAGAAAAAUGACGUACCUAAGGAAUAGAACCGCUAAAUA
RNAcentral lists this ribosomal RNA (492 nucleotides) under uncultured bacterium. RNAcentral describes it as "bacterial SSU rRNA". It matches the Rfam family "Bacterial small subunit ribosomal RNA", at positions 8 to 503 of the family's 1533-position model. The record is from RNAcentral.